Molecule: ribosomal RNA, 253 nt
Filed under: uncultured bacterium
Lineage: Bacteria
Description: partial 16S ribosomal RNA
Rfam family: Bacterial small subunit ribosomal RNA
Source: RNAcentral
UACGGGGGGGGUAAGCGUUGUUCGGAAUUACUGGGCGUAAAGGGCUCGUAGGCGGCCAACUAAGUCAUACGUGAAAUCCCUCAGCUUAACUGGGGAACUGCGUGUGAUACUGGAUGGCUUGGAUUUGGGAGAGGGAUGCGGAAUUCCAGGUGUAGCGGUGAAAUGCGUAGAUAUCUGGAGGAACACCGGUGGCGAAGGCGGCAUCCUGGACCGGCAUUGACGCUAAAGCGCGAAAGCCAGGGGAGCAAACGGG